UUCACUAGAAGGCCAUCAUAAUGUUUCGUUGGAUUAUAGAGACAAGGCUUGGAGAGCAUCGCUUGGGUGAAAGGGUGACAGAGAAUUGUAUUCUCCUCUUUCGAAUAUCAUCCGGAGGCGAACGUAAACCUUUGUGAUAUGGAUGAUGUCAUCAAAGAAAGGGUGAAAGCGUCUUCUCACAAGAGAGAAAUACCUAAAUACGAAGACCAUUUCGUAUAUGCCUAAAUCCGAAAGGAACUUGUGUUUUAAUGCCUAAAUUUUAAAUAACUCUUCUGUAUAACCGUAAAACCUCUAAAUUAUCGAGUUAUUUAUUUAUAGAGGUUUCACUGAUUAAUUCAUCAAUCUCUCUCUUCUUCUCUCUCUCUCUCUCUCUCAAUGCCUUUGCUCCAAGCAUCGAACACGUCACACGGUGCACUCCACAGUGACUUCCGCAGACCACUACGCUACAUGAGCAAAGGCA
This 460-nucleotide long non-coding RNA is filed under the name Capsella rubella. Its description in RNAcentral is "long non-coding RNA (CRUB_LNC001516)". Lineage: Eukaryota; Viridiplantae; Streptophyta; Magnoliopsida; Brassicales; Brassicaceae. The record is from RNAcentral.